GGAGAGGUGGCGGAGUGGUCGAUCGCGCCGGUCUCGAAAACCGGAAUACCUGCAAGGGUAUCGAGGGUUCGAAUCCCUCCCUCUCCGCCA
Molecule: transfer RNA, 90 nt
Filed under: Hyphomonadaceae bacterium
Lineage: Bacteria; Pseudomonadati; Pseudomonadota; Alphaproteobacteria; Hyphomonadales; Hyphomonadaceae
Description: tRNA-Ser
Rfam family: tRNA
About the family: Transfer RNA (tRNA) molecules are approximately 80 nucleotides in length.
Source: RNAcentral